RNAcentral lists this long non-coding RNA (213 nucleotides) under Gallus gallus (chicken). The record is from RNAcentral. Lineage: Eukaryota; Metazoa; Chordata; Aves; Galliformes; Phasianidae.
GAAAAUAUCUCAGUUCUCCAUAGAAAGAUAGAAAGGAUGCCAACAAGCCUGCGGAAGCUAAGACCCAGAACAAUUCAUCUCUCUGCUGAAGAGUUGAGAGAGGGCAGCUGGAUCCCACUGGACCCUGCUGUGUUUAGUUUCUAUAAAAGGGAACUAAAAUGAGGAGUGGCCUCCAGAGGCAGCAAAAUACAGCAGGAAGCCUGGAGAUGCAGC